This is a non-coding RNA of Hypoxylon sp. NC1633, 80 nucleotides long. Lineage: Eukaryota; Fungi; Ascomycota; Sordariomycetes; Xylariales; Hypoxylaceae. The record is from the annotation of a GenBank genome assembly.
CGCCGCGUAGCGCAGUGGUCGGCACGUUGGACUUUGGCCUCCUAAGACUGAGGUUGCGGGUUCGUGCCCCGUGGGGGUCG